This 482-nucleotide ribosomal RNA is filed under the name uncultured bacterium. RNAcentral describes it as "partial 16S ribosomal RNA". It matches the Rfam family "Bacterial small subunit ribosomal RNA", at positions 28 to 507 of the family's 1533-position model. The record is from RNAcentral.
GACGAACGCUGGCGGCGUGCUUAACACAUGCAAGUCGAACGCUGAAGCUCAGCUUGCUGGGUGGAUGAGUGGCGAACGGGUGAGUAACACGUGAGUAACCUGCCCUCUUCUUUGGGAUAACGCCCGGAAACGGGUGCUAAUACUGGAUAUUCACUGAUUCUCGCAUGGGGGUUGGUGGAAAGGUUUUUUCUGGUGGGGGAUGGGCUCGCGGCCUAUCAGCUUGUUGGUGGGGUGAUGGCCUACCAAGGCUUUGACGGGUAGCCGGCCUGAGAGGGUGACCGGUCACAUUGGGACUGAGAUACGGCCCAGACUCAUACGGGAGGCAGCAGUGGGGAAUAGUGCACAAUGGGCGAAAGCCUGAUGCAGCGACGCCGCGUGAGGGAUGGAGGCCUGCGGGUUGUAAACCUCUUUCGCUCAUGGUCAAGCCGCAGCUUUGGGUUGUGGUGAGGGUAGUGGGUAAAGAAGCGCCGGCUAACUACGUG